RNAcentral lists this ribosomal RNA (1003 nucleotides) under uncultured bacterium. Its description in RNAcentral is "bacterial SSU rRNA". It matches the Rfam family "Bacterial small subunit ribosomal RNA", at positions 353 to 1371 of the family's 1533-position model. The record is from RNAcentral.
AGUGAGGAAUAUUGCACAAUGGGGGAAACCCUGAUGCAGCAACGCCGCGUGGAGGAUGACGCAUUUCGGUGUGUAAACUCCUUUUAUAUGUCAAGAAAAUGACGGUAGCAUAUGAAUAAGCACCGGCUAACUCCGUGCCAGCAGCCGCGGUAAUACGGAGGGUGCAAGCGUUACUCGGAAUCACUGGGCGUAAAGGACACGUAGGCGGGUUGGAAAGUCAGAUGUGAAAUCCUACAGCUCAACUGUAGAACUGCAUUUGAAACUUCUAACCUAGAGUAUGGGAGGGGGAGAUGGAAUUAGUGGUGUAGGGGUAAAAUCCGUAGAUAUCACUAGGAAUACCUAAAGCGAAGGCGAUCUCCUGGAACAUUACUGACGCUAAGGUGUGAAAGCGUGGGGAGCAAACGGGAUUAGAUACCCCGGUAGUCCACGCCCUAAACGAUGAACACUAGUCGUCGGGAUGCUUGUCAUCUCGGUGAUGCACUUAACAGAUUAAGUGUUCCGCCUGGGGAGUACGGUCGCAAGAUUAAAACUCAAAGGAAUAGACGGGGACCCGCACAAGUGGUGGAGCAUGUGGUUUAAUUCGAAGAUACGCGAAGAACCUUACCUAGCCUUGACAUUGAUUGAAUUCAGUAGAGAUACAGAAGUGCCCUUCGGGGAACAUGAAAACAGGUGCUGCACGGCUGUCGUCAGCUCGUGUCGUGAGAUGUUGGGUUAAGUCCCGCAACGAGCGCAACCCUCGUCAAUAGUUGCCAGCAGGUUAAGCUGGGCACUCUAUUGAGACUGCCUUCGCAAGGAGGAGGAAGGUGAGGACGACGUCAAGUCAUCAUGGCCCUUACGGCUAGGGCUACACACGUGCUACAAUGGGGCGUACAGAGUGUUGCGAUACCGCGAGGUGGAGCUAAUCACUUAAAGCGUCUCUCAGUUCGGAUUGGAGUCUGCAACUCGACUCCAUGAAGCUGGAAUCACUAGUAAUCGUAGAUCAGCAAUGCUACGGUGAAUACGU